GAUCCUGGCUUAGGAUGAACGCUAGCGGCAGGCUUAACACAUGCAAGUCGAGGGGCAUCGGGAGUAGCAAUACUGCCGGCGACCGGCGCAAGGGUGCGUAACGCGUGAGCAACAUGCCCGUAUCAGGGGGAUAAUCCAUGGAAACGUGGUCUAAUACCCCAUAGUAAUUAUGUAAGGCAUCUUAUAUAAUUUAAAGCUUUGGUGGAUACGGAUUGGCUCGCGUGACAUUAGCUAGAUGGUAAGGUAACGGCUUACCAUGGCUACGAUGUCUAGGGGUUCUGAGAGGAAGGUCCCCCACACUGGAACUGAGACACGGUCCAGACUCCUACGGGAGGCAGCAGUGAGGAAUAUUGGACAAUGGAUGGAAAUCUGAUCCAGCCAUGCCGCGUGCAAGGAAGACGGCCCUAUGGGUUGUAAACUGCUUUUGUAUGGGAGCAAUAAGGGCUACGCGUAGUCCGAUGAGAGUACCAUACGAAUAAGCACCGGCUAACUCCGUGCCAGCAGCCGC
This 508-nucleotide ribosomal RNA is filed under the name uncultured bacterium. RNAcentral's name for it is "bacterial SSU rRNA". It matches the Rfam family "Bacterial small subunit ribosomal RNA", at positions 15 to 518 of the family's 1533-position model. The record is from RNAcentral.